UGCAACGUUGGCAGGAAGGGGGACCAGGGCCGCUGCCACGUGACCCUACAGCUGUGUGCGCCCGGACAUCUGGAGCUCAGCUCCGCCCUGGCGCCGCGGGAACGCUGUCUCCAAGUGGAGACUAAUCUCUGAAAGGGAUCCUCACGGUCAGCUCUCUCUCCGGAAGGCUCAGAGAGGUGAGUUCUGGUCUUCGUUCUGACUUGAACUCCCCAAUUCUGCCUUUCCAGGGGACAGGAAGAAGCACUAGCCUUUUUGGUUAGUUUCCCACCCUUGCCUCUCCGGAGCCAGAAGGGAGCCGGAAGGGAGCCCCAGCGCAGGCGGGCUUGGCAUCCCCCGGCCCCUCCCAGGCCAUCCUUGGAAGUGCCUCUUUUAUGCAUACCAGAAGCCCUGGUUCCCCAAGUACGCGGAGCCACCUUUCUCCUGGUUCUGACAGGCCCACCAGCAGACACAGCACACACACAAGGACCAAGAGGACUGCUUGCUGAGUUCUCACAGCCCUGGCAGCAGCUGUCAUGGGCCAUGCCCAGAUGAGGAUAUUCCUUCUCAGGGAGUCAGGUGACUCGCCCAGGAUCAAACAGACAGAAGAGGCAGUUCUGAGUCCUCUAGUCCCUAGUGGCCCAGGCCAGCAUGGCCUACUGCAGGAGGAAAUCACCAUGCCUGGGCCCACUGCAGGCCAGACAGGCUGGCAGGGAUUGGUUCAGCUUGGGGAACUCCCGAAGUAGAGUCCCACACUGAUCGUGAACUGACUACAGACAAGAUUCGUGUGUUUUGUUCACCACAGUAUUUGCAGCACCCAGGAUGAUGCCUAG
Molecule: non-coding RNA, 809 nt
Organism: Odocoileus virginianus texanus
Lineage: Eukaryota; Metazoa; Chordata; Mammalia; Artiodactyla; Cervidae
Source: RefSeq, a predicted model, not a curated record